GUAAGGUACCACCCUGUUUAUAUCUGCCGCGAGCAGUCAUACAUUUCAAUAUCCUUGUGACAGCCGUUAUACAAUUAAAAUUUCGACCUCAUGUCUCAAAGUGCCCCGGCCCCGGUAACUAAUUAACACUAGAUCAACUAAUUCGUUAAUCAAUAAAACAAAUAAAACUUUUACUAACGUUUUUGCACAGCACGUAAUGUAACACAAAUAGCUCAAUGAAUCGGCUAAGGUCAAUGUCCUUGUAUGAAGCGAUCAGCUUGCCUUCGCUGUUGAUUGCUGAUUCAAUAACUUAAUGAAAUGAUAGGGUAGUGGAAGAGCAAUGAAAAUCAAUCCUCUAGAAAUAGAGGUUAGAGCGUACCUAUAUGCUAUUAAAUAAAUAUUUUCUAGGAAGGGAUGACCUCUGUUCUGGAGUUACGAUGGUUAACCGAAUGUGUGUUACCAUCACAAGCAAAUUGGUUUUGCAAAUCGCAAAGCGCAUAAGAUUCGAUUGACGAGAAUUUUAGUUUUAACGCCCCAUCUUUUGUUUAAAGUCACUUAGGAACAUGGUUUAUUGGUAACAUUUUCAUAACAAGGUGACACUAAACACCAUACAAAGCUUGCAUAAUAUGUUCCGUAAUGGCAUACGCAAGUAUAGUUUUCGCUCACGGGACCCGCAAGUACAUAAACUCUCUACGUUAUCCAAUCCAGUUUCUGCAAGAUAGCCGGAACACCGUGGUAUAUGAGGAGGUUCUUCACGGUGACUUCCAAUUAGAACCGAUACGUACGUAUCUGAAGACAGCGUCAGAACGCUUCUUUGAAAAAGCGGCGCGUCACGAUAACCCUCUCAUUGUGGCCGUCCCUAACUACAUAUCCAACCCAGAUGAUGGGGCAACGCAAAGUCGAUGUAGUCCUAAACGUGUCUUAUAGGAUCCUCCCGAUCCACUCUCGGUGCUUUUAGGCUCUCCAUUUACUGGUCACCGUUUUCGCCGGAUCUUCUCAGUGGGUCGCGAUUCCGAUCCGGUGAAAGAUUCGACGAAGCACUGCUUUGGCUAAAGCUAGUGUUAGAAAUUUACUCAGGUUGAGCCCGUGAGCUCACCUAUCCGUCCGAGUGGAAUAGCCUCUUCGGCUACCAGCGACUAGGUUGAGGAAAAGAAAAAGGUGAAAUUCCUGGAAAGAGCUGGGGAUGCCUAACACGAAAUCGUUUGGGCAACUGUGACCUCUUGCUCCGUCUUGCCUGAAUAACAAUACCAGCCAUCGAUGGUCAGUACGUCUUCUUCAAAAAAGCCAAAUUGCUCAACACAUUACCCAGGUAGGUCACGGGUGCCCUACGUAGCGCACUGAAGUAAUAAUGUCGAUUUCUGUUACUAAUCGUCUGGAUUGCCUAACUAGGCCGUUUUAGGUAUCUUAGAAACAGAUUAUUUCUCAGUAUCUUCAGAUUCGCC
This is a long non-coding RNA of Bombyx mandarina (wild silkworm), 1421 nucleotides long. NCBI's taxonomy places the organism in Eukaryota, Metazoa, Arthropoda, Insecta, Lepidoptera, Bombycidae. The record is from RefSeq and is a predicted model, not a curated record.